This 295-nucleotide unclassified non-coding RNA is filed under the name Hevea brasiliensis (rubber tree). Lineage: Eukaryota; Viridiplantae; Streptophyta; Magnoliopsida; Malpighiales; Euphorbiaceae. The record is from RNAcentral.
GCAGUGCUGUUGUUGAUGACGGGGUGAUCAACAAGGAAGAUUUUCAGUUUGCACUAUUCAAGACUAACAAAAAGGAGAGCUUAUUUGCUGACCGGGUGUUUGACUUAUUUGAUACAAAACACAAUGGAAUUCUCGGAUUUGAGGAGUUUGCACGUGCUCUCUCCGUCUUUCAUCCUAAUGCUCCCAUUGAUGAGAAAAUCGAGUUUUCUUUCCAACUAUAUGAUCUCAAACAGCAAGGAUUCAUUGAAAGACAAGAGGUGAAACAAAUGGUAGUGGCUACUCUUGCUGAGUCGGG